Molecule: RNA transcript, 5631 nt
Organism: Peromyscus californicus insignis
Lineage: Eukaryota; Metazoa; Chordata; Mammalia; Rodentia; Cricetidae
Gene: Znf488
Gene name: zinc finger protein 488
Exons: 3
Source: RefSeq, a predicted model, not a curated record
GCGAUUUGAGCGCAGACAGGGGUCCUUGGGCAUCUCAGGCAGCCUGCACGCCACCAAACUGCCACCGCGGCCAGGGCCAGGAGGGUUCAAGAGCCUAGACUUUGAAGUGCACUGUGCAACAGCUCAGAGGUGACAGAAGACAUCACUUCCAAACACAGCAGGACUGAGCCUGGAGCUCCUGGCUGCCAGUCAGGCUCCGGAGCCUGCGGGCGAGGUGUGAAACGUCGGUUCCGCAGAGUGGAGCUUGGGAUCUAGGUCCCUGGUGCCUCCUCAGCCUAGAAGGGCCAGGGGUGGGGACCCUGUGGGCUCGGGACCUGAAGGUCCCGCCCCCGAGGCGGGGCCUGGACUCCCGUGGGCUCCUUCCGCAGCCAAGUUCAGCCGCGCAGGCUAGCCGCCCCGCAGCUGGUACCCGCCGGCCUCGCUGAUGCUGCGGAGAGCCCAGGGCUUGUGCUGAGUGCCAUGGUAAGAACCAUGACCCGAUCCCAGAUGUGUUCUCCAACAAAUAUUUACAAAGAUCUGGAAACGUAACUCAAUACCUGUUGUGGAAAAAUACAUAAAUGUCCGAGUUUUCCGGGUACAGACAGCACACCAGGAAAGCCGAUCCUUGGAGUAGCAUUUAGGAGACAGCUCCAGCCAUGCGUGUGUUCUGGGCAAGCUGUGCUGUCAGGUUCUGGGGCACAGACGGGUGGUGUUCCAGGCUGGAUUUCAGGAAGACAAUAGGAGCCCAGGGCUGGGCACGUUUUUGUCUACAUGAGGUUGAAGAACAAAUGUGAAAAUAUUUCAUGUUACCCUCAAAGAUUACCUUAGAUACAUUUUAAAGACAAGAAAACUAGGAAAGCCAGCCUGCUUAAAUUGUUAGGGAACCAGGUACAGCAUGUCUACUGAAUCGAUGUUUAUUGCUUUGUUAAAGAUUUAGUCUUGACAAAGACACAAUUUCAUGUUUAAUGAUAUUUAUGAUCUGUCUUUAUAUUUAAAAGCACAUACAAAACAUACACUAACUUGCUUGUUUUUGAAGAUGUUAAUCACCAAUUAAAGUUUGCAGCCUUGUCUUCCUUGGAACAAUUUAAAUUGACCUUGUAGUUAUUGUGCCUUUAAUGAUAAUUCUGCCAGCUUAACUUUUCACGGAUGCAGAAAAGGAAGCUUGUCAAUAAGCAGAAGUAGCAUCUGGUCAAUGAGCGUUGCGGCGUGGUUAGCUGAAGAGUUUGCAAUGCUAUACUAAGGAAUUCUGAACAGUUAAUACGCAUGUGCUGGGAGCUGGGGUUUGGGAGACUGUGCUCUGCACUGGAGAGCUCAAUUGUCCUGUGAGUCAUCCAACCACUGGCUCCAGUGAGUCAGAACUGGUAAUGGCGCUGGUGAAAGGGAUGCUUCUCAGCUGAUUUGGAAUUGCAUGGCAGUUUUGUUUGGCAGAUUUCUUUCUUCAGAAAUCCAGGAGCUGGCGGCUUAUAUUUAAAACAGAUAAGCUGCUAAAAAAGUAUAUGAAGCAAAGUCUUGAGUUUCAAUGUUUUAAAUUUUAUUUUCCUUCAUUACACAGUCUGUAUCUUUAUAAAAAUGUCACUGCCCUUCUCUCUUUAGAUGAUGCUACUGCUUGAGUAUAAAAGGGUCUCUGUUGAACAGCCUGGUAGAUAAGCCAUGUACUUUAUCCUGUGAAUGCUGCCCUGGAGGUGAAACCCUGGCUGGGGUGGGGCACCUGCUCUUCCUUUCUGAUAGUACCAAGAAGAAGAGCUUCCUUUAUUGAAGCUUAUCUUACACACACACACACACACACACACACACACACACACACCCUGUUUAGUCCAAUUAGAAGCACCCUGAAUUAAAAAUCACUAUUCCAGUUUUAUUUAUAAUGUGAUUAACAUCCUGAGUGGUUGUCCUGGGUCAUGCGCCUAGUGAGUGGCUAGGCUGAAACUGCAAUGCAAGCUAUGUCUUGGAAUCUGAGUCCUUGAGGCCAAUUCAACCCCACAGGUUCUAGCAGAAAUAUUACCCCAGAUAACACUACUUAUUGGCUGGUUAAUGAUGUUUAUUGGAGUGUGGCUCCUUGCUCUAGGGUCCUGGCCAUGUUUGGCCAUAGCUAACCCUGAAUUCACCUAGUAGAACCCCUAUGAAGCACUGUUUUUGUCCUCUGAGUUCAUUGGCCCUGUUUCUGAAAAUUCCUGGGGAUGGAAGGGUGAGGAUAUGUCAUCUACCUUUAUGUGGGUCCACAUGGCCAAGCUGGGUUAGUACUAAGUGUAGCCUUACUGUAGUCCUGGGAACUGACUUUGCUUGCAUUCAAACAGCUUUGGUCUAGAAGACUGGAGCUUAAGUUGGACAUGAAACCUCUAGGAACUGGUUAGGAUGUCCUCUUAAAAGCUCUGCUUCUCUACGAAAGCCUGGAAAGCUUUGAUGUUUCCAAUGUUUCUAAUAUUCCAGAACUAGGAGAUGCCUAGAAAUAUGAGCAUUCCCCACAGAAAAACUCAAGUGGUUAUUCUUAUACAGAAGGUGUUAAUGCAUGAUUACAUUCUGGAAUCUUCCAAAAGGGUCUGGGAAGACUCCAGAGACUAGGAAUGCAAAAAGACUAGAUACACUGGGAGUGUUUUAUGCCUUGUUUUGUUUCAACUGAGAAGAAAAGCAAAUACAGGCUACAAUCUAGCAGGUAUUACGGUGUCAUGGAGCAGAACUUGUUUCUGAACUGCAACUCAGAUCCACAGGAAUUGAUACAGUGUUAAGAGGACUUCAGAACUCUGAGGUAUCCAGUUGUUUAAUAAGAUCUUAUUGUCUGUAUACAGGAAAAAAAGGAAAGAAAUGACCUGGCUACUUGAUUAUUCAUUUAGCACCACUACGUGCUUGUUUCUUUGAGUUCACAAGUCAUGGAAAGUUGGCCAUGAGGUGACUGUCCCUUUGUGAUAAGCAUGACAACAGUUUGUCUUCAAACUGAAUGCUGAGCCAGGUUCCUUGGCACUUUAGACAUGAUGAUCUAACCAAUCUUUAGGACAAUACGUUGAGAUGGAGUACCUGAAUGUUCCCUUUUACAGAUAGGAAAAUAGAAGUCCUAGUGUGGAUAAUGGCAAAGAAUGAUGGAAUCCAGGUCUUCUGUCCCUGGAACCCAUGCACUUGACCUUUAUGAUGUGAAUGUGGGGCUCCACAGUAGCUGGAACAGCAAGGGUGAAUGGGAGAAUGUAACCAGAGCCUCUUAGACAUUGGAAUGAUGAGUCUAUAGUUUGUAUUCAAGCAGAAAUAACAAGACUGGAAACAGAUUGAUCUCUCAGAAUGUAGCACUUGCUGUGUUGGUCAAUAGCAGUACCCUGACAGGAGCUACAGAGAGAAGUAUCUACUAUGGCAGGGAAGAUGGUCCACGGAAAGAUAUCUAUCUUGUUGAUUGGGGGAUCCUGGUAUCAGAAAGCACUCCGGAUCAUAGAAUCAUCAUGUGAUCUGAGGUCUCUGAGGAUGGUGGGAGGGUCUUGGAAUUUCUUCUUUUUUUUUUUUUUCAGAUAGAAGAACAUAAGUAGUUCUGAAUCAUGUUUGUGCAAUUCAGAGGGGUGCCUUGUGGUGAAAAGAGCCAAGGAUGAUAAGAAAAGCCUUUUGGUGGAACACAUACAAUGAUGGAGUGACGAGGACCCAUAAAAAGAGUCAGGAUGGAGAGCCCAGGAUGAACUGAGGCCAUUGAGGACAGCCCAGAACAACAAAGAGUCUUUUCAUGUGGGGUCCAGAGCAAGGAACAAGGACUGCACAGAUCCAUCACCGCCUAGGGCAGCUGGUGUCUGUGGGAGGAGAAAGGGGAAGGGGCAGUUCCACUUUGCCCAGAAAACAGCUGCACGGGGAGUGAGUCCACAGGCACACAGGGUGAUGGGGGUGCAGGUGAGAAGGGAAAAGUGCCGGGUGCUGUGUGAUUGGUCAGGCUUCUGACCCACAGAACUCUGUAGUUGGGAUGUGGAGUGGUUUGGAGAUGAGCCCCCACAUCUGUGGUGGCCAUCUGGGAGGCACAGGGAUGAGGGGAUGCAGAUGCAGUGGGAUGAGACCUGGAAGCCUAGCUUUGGCCCUGGGAAAGAUACCGGUGUUAAAGGGAGGGCUGGGAGUCCCUACAGAGCGCAUGGAGGCAGCAGCAUUUCUGCAGAAGCAAGCCGUAGCAACCUCGCACUAUAUUCCAUCUUGAGAGGCUUCCAUCUGUCAGUUUUCAUGGAGGAUAGAUGUGGGAGUAGGACCUGGGAUGGGCCUUAUAGGAAAUCCCGUGCGCUUGCCUGCACGAUUAACCCCAAGCAAUGCUGAUUUGUGAGCCAGAGGUAGUCUCAGGGAGGCAGGCAAUGAUUCCACAUGUACAUGUACACAUGCACACAACCAUAUACGAAGGCACAUACAGACAAAUGCACACUCUAAUACUUGUACACCCUCAUAUAAGCACAUACACAUAAGUCAUACAUAUAUACACACACUUCUUUGAACUGUCCUCUGCUUAGUUACUAGUUUGCUUAUGUCUGCUCCAUUUCUCCUUUCUCUUUCUCCUCAUUAUCAUUUAUUCAUUUCCCCCUUUUCUCCCCCCCCCCCUUAUUAAGGAUUGGGUUGAUGGCUUUGACGGGGCAUAUAGUUGGAUAGGCUAUCUAACUCAAUAGCUGGCAUUCUCCAGAUUCACAAUGGUGUCGAAAGCUGCCCUGUGGAAUUGAGCAAAAUGACAUGGGGAUAGGUUGGCAAUAAAUAUUGGGUUGAGAAACACAAUGCACUGCAUAGGUUUUGUGAAAAUUAAGUGAAAUUAAAUGCACAGAGUUGUUUGUCUAUACACACUUAAACAGCAGAUUAUCACCACUUUACUUUUUAUAUAAUGAAGCAUCCUGGUGACCAGCUUUCUGCCCUGCAUGUCCCUGAGAAGAGGGUGGUCACAUCUUCUUGCAUGCCACUGAAAGUUCUGGUUCCUGGGAUUAGCUGUCCCUGGUUGGACAAUGCUGCCUGGACCAUGAAGGGGCAUCAUGGGGCCUCUGCAGAGCUGGAAGUGAGUGCACUAAGAUCAGGGAAUUUUGAGGCAGGUUCUUGAACACCCUUGGGUAUAACAUUAUCUGGAUCCAGCUGACUUUGGAGAAGUAUCUGCGAUUAGAGAAGAGACAGAGGACUUGUGUGUUUUGGUGUAUUGUGGGAGUGUUCAUAUAAAUGUGUAUGAAUAUGUUUGUGGGAACAUAUGUAUAUUAGUGUGUGUUUGUGUGAAACUAUAUGUGUAUUUGUGUGUUAAGUGUGUGUGUAAAGUGUGUUUGUAUGUGCGAAUGUGCCUGUGUGACUGUGUAUGUGUGUCUGCGUGAGCGCAUGGAAUAGAAACUCACUGGUGGGGAUUCAAACAGACUUGCUAUUAUUUGAGAAAGAGAGGAGCAAUUUAUCCAGUUAGUUACAUCUGGGAGAUCAGGGCUGAACUGUGGAGAUGUUUUUAGCCCAUUUCAUAGUAGAAACCUGGGGCUCUGAAGGGCUGGAUGCUUUGCCCAGGGUUACCCUGUGGCUGUUGACGCCUCUGCACUCAAAACACUGGGCAAUAUGAUGUCUGAUGCUAGAAGCAGCCCCACUGAAGCUGUGGUUUAGAAAGGAUGUUGAGGUGAUCCACUUUGUCCCAUCAGCACACAGUAUGAUGAGGGACCUGGGGACCCAGAACCACACAGAGGAGGGGACUGUGAUUGCUUUUUUUUU